GCUGCUCUUUCGAUGCAAACUGGGAGUCCUGCAGUACACUGUGAUCAGACCAAUUACCACUCUUAUAGCAUUGAUAUGUGAAAUGGUUGGUGUCUACAAUGAAGGGAAAUUUGGUUUCUCCAAUGCAAGGACUUACUUGGUUAUAAUAAAUAAUUUGUCAGAAGUGAUUGCCAUAUGCUGCCUCCUGCUGCUUUACAACAUGCUGAAGGAAGAGCUUAGCCCUAUAAAACCCGUUGGCAAAUUUCUUUGUGUCAAACUGGUAGCC
Molecule: long non-coding RNA, 265 nt
Organism: Peromyscus eremicus (cactus mouse)
Lineage: Eukaryota; Metazoa; Chordata; Mammalia; Rodentia; Cricetidae
Exons: 3
Source: RefSeq, a predicted model, not a curated record